RNAcentral lists this long non-coding RNA (6256 nucleotides) under Homo sapiens (human). Its description in RNAcentral is "HSALNT0070934". The record is from RNAcentral. Lineage: Eukaryota; Metazoa; Chordata; Mammalia; Primates; Hominidae.
CUGUUAUCAACACCUAAUAUUAUGCUUCAUACACUCACAACAAAUCUUUGUUGAAUAAAUAAAUGUUCCAAAUUAUGCAAAAUAAACUAAGCUGGUAAAGAGAGGAAGAGAAUUUUCAGGAAGAAGAAGCACUUAUAUCAACAUUUCUGAAGAUUAUGGAUACAAAUAUCUGUAAAUAGAUUCAGGAGGCAAGAGUAGUAAAAUGUGGACCUAAGUAUUAGUAAAGUGCUCAUUAAUGAAGGAUGUUUUAUUCUAUGCUAAGGAGUUUGGAUUUUAUUCUAAAGUCAAUGAGAACUAAAUGACAGAUUUUAUAAUUUGGUAAGUUACAUGUUUUAGAUACUAAGGUACUAAAUAUAUUAGAAUUAGCAAGAUUUGAAACUUUAAUCAGUGUUAGAAAUCAAAAGACAAUGGAUGGUAAAAGAAAGUAGGAAAUCUAAGAUUAUACAUGCCCUUCUAAAUUAGAAUCUUGAUGUCUUUUUUUUUUAGAGAUUUAAGCAUUGCAAAUUGAUUCCAAUCAUAAAACAAGUAUAUAUAUAUACACACACAUAUAUGAAUUUUAAAAUUACAUAUAUAAAUAUAUACAAAAAUAUACAUAUAUGAAUUUAUUUAAAAAAUUUGACCCUGUCUACUCAUUAUCUACAGGUAUAUUUCUCUCUUACCAUUUAUAGUCGAUUUCUUGAAAGAUAUGUACAUGUCGUUACCUUGCGUUCACCCCGCAACUGACUUCUGUAUAAUUUUCUACUCACCACCAGUGAAAAUGCACCUGUCAAAGGUAUUAACAUCACCCUUAUAACAAAUCUAAUUACCAUUUUUAGCCCUCACCUUAUUUAUCAUUUGAGUUCUUUUAAAAUUCUCAGAAGUUCCACCAUUGGAAAUAAAAAUGAAAAAGAUUUUGCAAAGGCAAUUAAUAAUGAGUCAUCAGAGAGAAUGAAGCCACCAAGGAAAUCUAAAGUUUCAAAAACUUGGGAAAGGUCGACAAUGUCAGACAUCCAAGGGAUGACUGAAAAUAUUCUGCUAAUAUGCCAUUGGUGAACAAUACAGAGAUUCCAAAAUGAAAGAAAAGUCAUCCUCUCUGGAAAUGUGAAGCAUAACUAAAGUUUGACCAACAAGUUGUAGAAGCUGGAUUAUAGUGGCAUAAUCUCGGUUCACUGCAACCUCUGCCUCCGGGGUUUCAGCGAUUCUCCCACGUCAGCCCGCUUAGGAGCUGGGACUACAGGCACGUGCCAACGUGCCCAGCAAAUUUUUUGUAUUUUUAGUAGAGACGGGGUUUCACCAUGUUGUCCUGGCUGAUCUCGAACUCCUGACCUUAAAUGAUCCACCCGCCUCGACCUUCCAAAGUUCUGGGACUACAGGUAUGAACCACUGUGGCCUGCAAAAUUAAAAAUUUUAACUUGAAAACUGGAAAACUACAACUCAGAAGCUAUAAUCAUAUAAAUUGUUCAUUGGUAGUUUAUUGGCACAUACCAAUAUAACCUAAAGUAUUUUGUCACCUGAAUGUAAAACAUGGUGAGAUAUAUAUCCUCCUUUAGCUACUUUCUUUACUUUUCUCCUUGAAAUGUAACAUUUUAUAGAUAAUACUCAGGGCAAUCUUUAAAAAUAUUGUCUGUGAUGUACCCUGUGAUUUAAGCCAAGUGAAAAAAAAUAUUAUAAAAUUUGUAUUGUAGAAAUACGACUCACAACAUGUAGAAAUGUUAGUAAAGUUUGUUUAACAAGUUUUAUUAAAAGGAAUGCAACUGUGCUUACAAGCCUAUGGUAGUUCCCCAUGUUCCUGAAGUUAAGGAGAUGCCAGAUCCUGAGAAAUAAGAAUAAUAAAAUGUUGAGUUUGCUCUAGAAAGAAGCAUGAAUUUUAAUACCAUGCAUGAACAAAAAGUAAGUUAUCAGAAAUGGGUUACAACACUAUGGGGUGAUCAGAAUAGGCCUCAUCAAGAUGAUGACAUUUGAGCAAAGACUAGAUAAUAAAGGAAUUAUCAAGAAGAUAUCUUGAGGGAAAAUAUUAUGGGCUGAGUGAUAAUAUGUGCAAAUGUUACAUUAUAGUGUGAGGAAGUCAUAAAAACAUGGUUAUUGGUGAUAUUAUACAUAAAAUAAUAAAGCCAUUGCAAACUCAGAUAAAUCAGUUCUCGAACGAGAGACGAACACACUUGUUUCUUACAGAAUUUACAGUGAGAAAAUGCAUCUUUUAAGAAUAAACAUUCUGGUACACUAUUUCAUGUUUAUUUAGAGUGCAGAGUAUUUCACUUAUAUUGCUUAGUAACUCCAAGAUAAGAAAUUAAUUUUUUUUUUACAAUUUCACAGGCAGACUGACUUUUGUUAUGGUAGAAUAAGGAGAUAAUCUCAAUAAGCAAUUAUAUAACUCGGGGAAAAUAUUAAAAAAAAAACACCCACAUGUUGCAGGCAUUUGGGUAUCAACCAAAUGCAUACAACACAUUGAGAAGCAUUUAUUCACAAUAAUCCUUGGUGUUCUUAUCCAGACUAUUACUAUCACCCACUGAUUGGUCAGCAGUUCUAUAAGUCAGGAAAUACCACAAAAGCCAAGCCCUCUACUCGCCAAGGAAAUCACUUGAUUAGGAACAGAAAACAAAACAGUCAUGCCCAGCAGUGAUGUCAGUGAAAUUAUCAAUUUCAGUUUCAAGUGAAGAGAGAAAGUUUAGUGGACCAGCCAUUUUGAUCUUGUCUCCUAGCUGGGAGGAGCAAUGGGACACUAAAAUAGCCAACAUUUUCAAAAGGAGAUUUUAUAGAUGAGGCAGAGUGGCUUGAUAAUUUAUCUACAGUUCCUAGACUGACUUGAUUGCUGCAACUAGUGAAGACCAAAACAGAAGACUCAAGCUGUUAAGCUAUGUACAUAUUAUUUUGGCUGUCAAGAAGACGGUGAUCAUGCAUAGAGGAGAGAUAAAGGGUCCAGCAAAAAGUAAAAGUUAGAGUAAGUCUGAAUUCUUUUUCUUAAUUUUGGAAGUAUUCCACAACCCACACACACAUCUGUCAACAGGGGUUGGAAGCCUUCUUGGCAGAUGUUUGGACAUAAUAUUACACACCUGUAGUCCCUGCUCCUUGUAAGGCUAAGGUGGGAAGAUCAUUUUAGCCUGGAGGCAGAGGUGGCAGUGAUCCAAGAUUGCACCACUGCACUCCAGCCUGGGUGACAGAGUGAGGUCCUGUUAAAAAAAAAAAAAAAUGAAAAGUAAAAGCAGAAACAUCAGCAGUCCCAUACUAGAAUGGAGUCAGAUUGUCCAGAUUUAGCUUAACAAAGUAACAACUUACUAAAUAAACAAUGAAACAAAACAAAAAUAGCAACAGCUUUUGGGAGGAAAAUUGAGAAUCUGGAAUUCCUGCAAUAUAAUAUCGAAAAUGUCUAGAUUUAUUUUUCUAAUUAAGAGACAUAAAAAGAGAAAAGUUAGUCACGGAGUGGAAGGGGCAGUCUGUCAAGAAAACUGAGUGUACUCAGAUGUUGGAUUUGUUAUAGUAUACAGCAAAUUCAAAGCAGCUAUUAAAAUACUUUCAGUAUUAAAGAAAGUAUAAUGAUAAUGAAUCAAAAAAUAGAAAAUAUCAACAAAUGAAUAGUAAUUACAAUAACCAAAUAGUUAUCCUGAAAUUAAAAAAUUGAAUAACUGAAAUAAAGUUCAGUAGAGUAACUCAACAGCAUAGGUCAGGUUACAAAUGAAAAAUUAAGCAAAAUAUAAAUGUAGAUUAAUAGAAGCUGUCCAACAAGAGAAGAAAUGAUAAAACUGUACAUAAGAGCAACAUCAAGCAUACUGAUGUAUAUGUAAUGUGUGUGCCGAGAGAAGAAAAAGAUAGGAGCAGAAAAAAUAUUUAAACAUAUAGUUACCUAAAGCUUCUUAAAUUUGAUGGGAAAAAAUUAUCCACAUUUCCAAGUUUAAUGAAUUACAAAUAGGACAAGCAGAAAGUGAGCCAUACCUGAACAUAUCAUAGUCAAACUGUUGAAAGCACAGACAAGGAGACCACCUUGAAAUCAGUAAGACAAAAUGACUUAUCAUGUAAAGAGGGAGAUCUAUACAAUUAACACUGAUUUUUGAUAUAAAGCAAAGGAAGUUACAACGUAUUGAAAUAGCAUAUGUUUCAAACACUGAAAGAAACAAGCAAACGAACAAGAAACAAAAGAACCAUAACAAAGAAUCCUAUAUCCAGCAAAACUACUCUUCAAAAAAAAACAUGGUAAAAUGAAGACAUUCCUAGAAACAUGAUGAUCAAGAAAAUUCAUUACUACCAUAUAUGUCUUCGAAUAAAUUCUUAAGAGAGUUCUUCAAACAGAAAGGAAAUAAUACUGGCAGCUAAUUCAAACCCAUAGGAAGAAACCAAAACAACUAGUCUUGGUAAAUUUAAAAUUAUUUCUAAAUAUAUUUUCUCUUAGCUUAUUUCAAUGUUACAAGGUUAUAUAAAGCAAUUACAGCAUUGAGUUGUCAUGUCUAUUGCACACAGAGAUGUAGUGCAUAUGAAAAUCAUAAAAGAUAAUAGGGGAGAUAAAAUGCAGCUAUACUGGAAAAAAUUUUUCUCUAAUUUAUAAAAAUUAGCUAAGUAUUGAUCAAUAUGUAUCUAUCUAUCCAUCUAUGUAUAUAUCUAUAAAAACACACAGGCAUACUACACACACAAAGAAAAAGUAAUAUUCAAUACUAUAGUCACAUUUAAAAUUUAAUUUCAGAUACAUUAAAGAUACACAAAAUAAUAACUUUAAACUAUCAGUUAAAACAUUUUUUAUAUAUAAUAUAGGCAAAAUUAUAAUUAAAAUUUUAAUUAGGCUGGGCGCAGUGGCUCACGCCUUUAAUCCCAGCCUUUGGGAGGCCGAGGCGGGUGGAUCACGAGGUCAGGAGAUCAAGACCAUCGUGGCUAACACGGUGAAACCCCAUCUCUACUAAAAAUACAAAAAAUUGGCCUGGCGUGGUGGCGGGAGCCUGUAGUCCCAGCUACUUGGGAGGCUGAGGCAGGAGAAUGGCGUGAACCCCAGAGGCAGAGCUUGCAGUGAGCCGAGAUCAUGCCACUGCACUCCAGCCUGGGUGACAGAGCCAGACUCCAUCUCAAAAAAAAAAAAAAACAAUUUAAUUAAACACACUUUUUCUAAUUCACCCUAACGGACAUAAAUUUUUCUAGGUGUUCAGCAUCCAAUAAUGAAUAUUACUGACAAAUAUCCCUCUCUCAUGUGGCUUACAGUCUCAUGUGUUUAACAGUAUACACACAACCAAAUGAAUGAAGUGUAAAAUUUUACACAGUACAAUGAAAAUCUUAAAUGAUAUGAGAUACUACAAACAAAAUAGAAAGACAAAUUAUACGCUGAAACAAGGUAUAUAGUACAUACAUAACAACAGAGGCUUUUACUCCAGAGUAUGUAAGACGAGUUCAUAUAUCAGCGAGAACAAUAAGAUGUGCCAAGAUAAAUAUGAAAAAGUCUGUAAAGAGAAAAUUUGAAUGACCAAUAAGCAAAUGAAAGAUGCUCAAAUUAAUCAUUUAUUUAAGAAAACUUACUUAAAACAAUACUGAAAAAUAAUUUACACUCAUAGGAUUAAACAGUUUUAAAAGUUGGCUAAUAUGAAGCUGUCAAAAGUUUAAAGGAUGAAAAAUGGGGCAAAAGAACACUAUGCUACUUUCUGAUAGUGUAAGUUCAGGAGAAAUUGGCAAUAUCAAAAAAGUUAAAAAUGGCUGGAAAUUAUGCUCAACAAUUUACUCCAAAAAAAAAAAUGCUUGUAUUUGUACAGAAGGAAAUAUGGCCACUAGUGUUUAUGGCAGUAAUUGUGUGUAAUUAUGAAAACACUAAAACAUCCUAAAAUUUCGAUGUGGUGGUAGAAGAAAAAUCAAUGUAGCUCAUUAGUAUUAGGGAAUAUUACACAGUAAUUGAUUAACAGAUUAAUGCACUAGAGCUACAUAAUUCUCAAAACCAUCCUGUUAAAGGAGAAAGGAAGAGUGCUUUAUGAUGGUAAAGAAAUGUCAUUAUUUGACUUUUAUAAAUACACAAAACCAAUCCCUUACAUUAUUUAUGUGUGGAUAUGUGAGCAGUUAUAUAUAAGCACAAAACUGGAUACAAAAAUAUCUGAAUGUUCACACUAACUUGAGAUUAGUGGAAAAAAAAGAAGUAACCUGUGGAACUUGGCCAUAAACUGGGCUUUUCACAAAAAAAUAGCUAUGAAUCUGAUAAGUGAAAUUGCUAACAUCUUCCAAAAUUAGUGUUCAAAACAUUGUGUUUUUUGUAUUAUUUUUGUAGUUAUGUGUUUUUAAAUAAUUGUAUAAUUUUAUUGCUAAAAUAUAAAAUUCUGUUACC